AGCGUUGGGUUGAAAAAGCGAGCGCGUGUCGUGAAUCGGAAAAUCGAGACAAAGAUAAAGAAAAGUUCAUUAUCACAUGCCAGAAGAACAGCGGAAAAUAAAGCCGUUGAACAAGUGAAAAACGAAAGGGAAAUGCAAGUGAAAAGUCCAUUUGGACCCUGCCCUUGAAAGUGUGUAAAAAACAACCACUGGAAUUCACUUUACGCACAAAACGACUUUAGAACGCAGCAGGAUGUGGAAAGCGUAGGA
This 249-nucleotide small RNA is filed under the name Drosophila erecta. RNAcentral's name for it is "GG26832". Lineage: Eukaryota; Metazoa; Arthropoda; Insecta; Diptera; Drosophilidae. The record is from RNAcentral.